GAUGAACGCUAGCUACAGGCUUAACACAUGCAAGUCGCGGGGCAGCAUGGGGGUUGCUUGCAAUCCCCGAUGGCGACCGGCGCACGGGUGAGUAACGCGUAUCCAACCUGCCCUUCACCACGGGAUAACCCGGCGAAAGUCGGACUAAUACCGUAUGUUGUCCAUUGACGGCCUCCGAUUUGGACGAAAGGUUUGGCGGUGAAGGAUGGGGAUGCGUCCGAUUAGCUGGACGGCGGGGUGACGGCCCACCGUGGCGACGAUCGGUAGGGGUUCUGAGAGGAAGGUCCCCCACACUGGAACCGAGACACGGUCCAGACUCCUACGGGAGGCAGCAGUGAGGAAUAUUGGUCAAUGGGCGUAAGCCUGAACCAGCCAAGUAGCGUGCAGGAUGACGGCCCUAUGGGUUGUAAACUGCUUUUAUGCGGGGAUAAAGUGGCCCACGUGUGGGUUUUUGCAGGUACCGCAUGAAUAAGGACCGGCUAAUUCCGUG
RNAcentral lists this ribosomal RNA (490 nucleotides) under uncultured bacterium. RNAcentral describes it as "partial 16S ribosomal RNA". It matches the Rfam family "Bacterial small subunit ribosomal RNA", at positions 28 to 507 of the family's 1533-position model. The record is from RNAcentral.